CCAUUCCCCCCUUAGUCUCUUCCUCUCCCCCAAAGCUACUUAGUCACUAGAGACCCUUCACAACUUAGGCUCUCCUAUCCCUCUCCAUCGCUUCUCUAGCAAACUUGGGGACCUCAUCGCUUAAGCACCACUGUCCUCCUAUCUUCAAUCCCUCAGUAGCCAGCAAGUGAGUGACGUCGUUCACCGUUCUGGGGCAAUAUUUGAAUAUACAGGUACGAAAUUGCUUACCCAAACAUUUUCCAUCUCUGAUUAAGACCACUAUUUCCGAUUUAUCCUCCCUCUCGUGUAACAGCUUUUUUAUGACAGUGAGUGCAUCUCCUUUAACCUCCGUAUCCAUUAGUCCUAGAUCUAGUCCCACCUGGAUCCUUUGAAUGCAUACAAUCGCUUCUACCGCAAAGACUGAAGGUACAUUCUCAUUAGUGACCCUUUUUUAGCAUAGUACAAGUCCCUCAGAGUUUCGAAUCACAAUCCCAGAACAUGAUUUUUCCUUAUGCUUUUUAUAGGCGGUGUCAAAAUUGAUUUUUACGAACGGGGGCUUUGAUGGUUGCCAACUUUCCAACUCCACACGCCGAACAUAUAAGGGAAUCUAUACCCCAUCAAGUUCUUGAACAUAAUUUCUUAUUGAAGUUGCAAUAGUGUUCCCAGAUCUUUUCUAAACCUCAUGAGUCCACUUAUUCUGUUCUGUCCAAAUAGACCAUAGAGCACAUCCGAACAUUCUACACUGGUUAUUGGUGUUAUGCUCAAAGAACCAGGUAACCCACUCCAAUAUCUCUAUUCUUGACACCCUUUCUGGCCAGGACCAGCCUAAAUGAUUCCAUUUAUCUUUUGUCUCAGGCACUCACGCAGGGCAUGGAUAUCGGUUUCAAUUCCACCUGCACAUCUCAGACAGAUACUAGAAUUAGUAACUGUUAAGAAAUGGCUUAAAAUUGGUAGUGGAUUGUUGUUGUUGGUAGUGGGUUGUUGGUGGUAGUGGAUUAGUGGAUGGUUGUUGGUGUCCAUUUUCAACCACAAAUCUUUGCCAAAGUUUUGGACAAUUAUGUCCUUGAACUCUCUUAUAAAUAGAGAGGUUCAUUAGCCAUAUUCAUCAUCCCAAACCAAGAGAGAGCAAAGCUUGUUCUUUGAAAGCUAGGAUUUUAGCUUUCGGGUUUUCUAUAGGGGUUGAGAGUUGUGAGGUUCUCGGGUUGUGUCUUGAGUGUAAAACACUUGUAAUCUUCAUCUUGUUAUAGUGAAAUUUCUUUUCGCCUCUGCCCGUGGACGUAGGCAUUAAAGCCGAACCACGUAAAUCCUUGUGUUCACUUUAUUUUUCGUUUCGGUCAAUUUACUUGUAGUCAUAUCGGAGUUCUCGAAUCGAUCCUUUCCGCAACAAAUUGGUAUCAGAGCGUAGUUGAAGGAGUGAUAAUAUUUUCUGAAUUGCCCUGUGACUGCAGCUUUGUCUGAUCUUUCACAUCAGGAAGAAAAUAUUAUCAUUCAUUCAAAGGUUCCAAAUUAUGGCUACAAGUGUUUCAUCGACUAAGUAUGAUGUCGAGAAAUUUACCGGGAAAAAUAGUUUCAGUUUAUGGCGCAUCAAGAUGCGGGCAGUGCUGGUUCAACAAGGAUUGCUAAAAGCAUUGUCUGGUAAAGAUAAAUUACCAAGCACGCUUUCGGAAGAGCAAAAGGAUGACAUGCUAGAAAGAGCACAUAGUGCUAUUCUGCUAUGUCUAGGAGAUGAAGUGCUACGAGAAGUAGCGGAUGAGAAAACCGCGUCCGGUUUGUGGCUCCGGUUAGAGAGCAAGUACAUGACGAAGUCAUUGACGAACCGGCUCUACCUCAAGCAAAGACUCUAUGCCCUGAAGAUGGAGGAAGGUACACCUGUUUCCCAGCACCUGGAUAAAUUCAAUUCCAUUAUCAUGGAUUUGAAUAAUAUCGAUAACAAAAUCGAUGAUGAGGACCAAGCAAUAAUUGUUUUGUGUUCUUUGCCUCCCUCGUAUGAGAAUUUUGUUGAUACAAUGAUGUACGGUCGUGAUGACCUGACUCUAGAGGAGGUGAAAAAUGCCUUAAGUUCCAGUGAGUUGAGGAAGAAAAUCACUGGUAAGGUGGUCGAAAACAAUGAAGGCGAAGGCUUGGUUGCUCGAGGAAGAUCCAAGGCAAAGGGUGGAAGUUCAAGUAAAAGCCAUCCUAGAUCGCAGUCCAAGAAGAGAAUACAGUGCUACUACUGUAAGAAGUACGGGCACAUGAAGGUAGAUUGUCCGAAAAGCAAGGAGAAAUCAGAAUCACAGGAGCAACAAAAUGAUCGUGCGAAUGUAGCUGAUGCAGAUUCUUCAAGUGAUGCCGAGAUCGUUCUUGCAGUAUCCGACUCUUACGCUGGUGGGAGAUGGAUUCUUGAUACGGGAGCUACAUUUCAUAUAAGUACUUCGAAAGAUGCAUUCUCAACAUACGAGAAGCAUUCUGGUUCAGUACUAAUGGGAAAUGACCACGCAUGUCAAGUCAUGGGGAUUGGCACAGUUCGUAUAAAGAUGUUUGACGGUAUUGUUAGAACUCUAACUGAUGUUCGGCACAUUCCAGAAAUGAAGAAAAAUUUGAUCUCUUUGAGUACGUUGGACAAGAAAGGCUUUCGGUACUCUGCUGAAGGUGGAGUUCUCAAGGUAUUCUCGGGUGCUUUGACUGUGAUACGUGGUAAUUUGGAGCGGGGCCUUUACUUCCUCGAUGGUUCCUCGGUUACAGGUGUUGCGGGAGUGUCAUCAUCAGAUGAUCUAGAUUCUGACACCACGAAGUUAUGGCAUAUGCGGCUCGGGCAUAUGAGCGAGAGAGGCUUAUCGGUGCUAAGCAAACGAGGAUUAUUGUCUGGGCAGUGUACAGGAAAGUUGAAUUUCUGUGAGCACUGCGUCUUCGGUAAGCAGACUCGGGUAAAGUUCAGCACUGGGAUUCACAAGACAAAAGGCACAGUGGAUUACUUCCAUUCUGACCUUUGGGGGCCUUCUCCGACAAUUUCUAAAGGUGGUUACAGAUAUCUGCUUACCUUUAUCGAUGAUUACUCGAGAAAGGUUUGGGUGUAUUUUCUGAAGAGCAAGUAUGAGGUUCUCAUCAACUUCAAGCAAUUUAAAGCUUUGAUCGAAAAUCAAACAGGAAAGAAGAUCAAGCGAUUCCGGACGGAUAAUGGCUUGGAGUUUUGCUCAGGUGAAUUCAAUGAGUUCUGCAAGAAUGAAGGAAUAGUGAGACACCGCACUGUUCGUCGAACACCACAACAAAAUGGAGUUGCAGAACGCAUGAAUAGAACUCUCUUGGAGCGAGCUCGUUGCAUGCGAUCAAAUGCUGGGCUCGGUGAAGAAUUUUGGGCUGAAGCUGUUAAUACUGCUUGUUAUUUGGUUAACAGAUCUCCGUCAACAGCUAUUGAGCUGAAGACUCCUGAGGAAGUAUGGUCUGGUUCUCCUGCUGAUUACUCUGGUUUAAGAGUGUUUGGCUGCCCUGCGUAUGCUCAUGUAAAUGAGGGAAAACUCAAACCGAAGGCGAAGAAAUGCAUAUUUCUUGGAUACGGCCAAGGGGUGAAAGGAUACAGGUUGUGGUGUCCUGAUCCGGUUUCGUCCAAGUUCAUCAUCAGCAGAGAUGUGACUUUUGAUGAGUCAUCCAUGCUUCGAUCCACCACAAAUUCCCGGGAAAAAGAGGAGUCAGAUAGAAUGGGAGAUCACGGUGUUGAGAAGCAGGUGGAGUGUCAGGUGGACGCUCCAAUUCCUACGGAAGGUACUUCAGUCCAGGAUGAUCAAGUUGAGGUGCAAGAUUCCGAUGAAGAUGAGUCACCUCAAGAAAAACCAUAUAGCAUUGCCACUGGAAGAACGAAGAGACAAAUCAAACCAAAUCCGCGUUACGCUAAUCUGGUGUCUUUCGCGCUCAGUGUGGCGGAGUCCAUUGGUAUAGAACCUUCCAGUUAUAAUGAGGCUGUCACGUGUGAUGAGUCGGCACAGUGGGCAAUUGCUAUGAGUGAGGAGAUAGAAUCUCUUCACAAGAACCAUACUUGGGAGUUGGUUAAGCCGCCAAGUAACCAGAAGAUAGUUGGUUGCAAAUGGGUCUUCAAGAAAAAGGAAGGCAUCCUAGGGGUUGAAGCAACUAGAUUCAAGGCACGAUUGGUUGCUAAAGGCUUCACUCAGAAAGAGGGGAUUGACUACAAUGAAGUUUUCUCCCCAGUCGUAAAGCAUUCUUCCAUUCGUGUAUUACUUGCCAUGGUGGCCAAGUCUGAUCUAGAACUUGAGCAGCUUGACGUAAAAACGGCGUUCUUGCAUGGUGAGCUCGAGGAAACAAUCUACAUGCGUCAACCAGAGGGUUUUACAGUUCCUGGUAAAGAAGACCAUGUCUGUCUAUUAAAGAAGUCUUUAUAUGGAUUGAAACAAUCCCCAAGGCAGUGGUACAAGCGGUUUGAUAGCUUCAUGAUUCAGCAUGGUUACACAAGAUGUGACUAUGAUGCUUGUGUCUAUCAUCGGAAGCUCUCAGAUGGUUCGCACAUUUAUUUGUUGCUGUAUGUUGAUGACAUGUUAAUUGCUUCCAAAAACAUGUCGGAAAUCAACAAGUUAAAGUCGCAGUUGAGUGGUGAGUUCGAGAUGAAGGAUCUGGGUGCUGCCAAGAAAAUUUUGGGCAUGGAUAUUCACAGAGAUCGCAAGGCGGGCAAGCUUCGUGUGUCGCAGAAGAACUACAUUGAAAAGGUUCUUCAACGCUUCGGCAUGGAUAAAGCGAAAACUGUGAGUACUCCGUUGGCACCACAUUUCAAACUCUCUGCAGAGUUGUCACCACAAUCUGAUGAAGAAAAGCAGCAAAUGUCUCACAUUCCAUACUCGAGUGCAGUUGGAAGCGUGAUGUAUGCAAUGGUUUGCACUCGUCCAGACAUUUCACAUGCAGUUAGUGUGGUCAGCAGAUACAUGAGUUGUCCUGGCAAGGAACACUGGCAGGCCGUGAAAUGGAUUCUCAGGUACUUGAGAGGUUCUGCAGAUUUAUGCUUGGUAUAUGAUCAGAGUGACUGCACUAGCAGUGUCACGGGCUAUGUGGACUCUGAUUAUGCUGGAGAUCUGGACAAAAGAAGAUCUCUGACGGGUUAUGUUUUCACUUAUUCUGGAGGAGCCAUUAGUUGGAAAGCUGUGUUACAGUCUACCGUAGCCUUAUCUACGACUGAGGCGGAAUAUAUGGCGUUAGCAGAAGCAGUGAAAGAAGCAUUGUGGAUGAAAGGUCUAGUAAGCAGUUUGGGUUUACAACAGGAUUUCACUGUUGUAUUUUGCGAUAGCCAGAGUGCCAUACAUCUGACUAAAAAUCAGAUGUUUCAUGAACGGACCAAACACAUUGAUGUCAGAUAUCAUUUUGUUCGGGAACAUGUUACGCAAGGUGACAUUGUUAUCAGCAAGGUUGCUACCGAGAAGAAUCCUGCAGAUAUGUUAACUAAGGUGAUCCCUGCAUAUAAGUUCAAGCAUUGCUUGGACUUGAUAGGUAUUCGGGAUUGAUUAGCGCCAGAGAGGCGUUUGGAAGAGGUGAUCCAGUUCGAGGAAUUCACUAUGAUGUUCAGCUUGGUAAAUUUCAAGCCAAGGUGGAGAUUUGUUAAGAAAUGGCUUAAAAUUGGUAGUGGAUUGUUGUUGUUGGUAGUGGGUUGUUGGUGGUAGUGGAUUAGUGGAUGGUUGUUGGUGUCCAUUUUCAACCACAAAUCUUUGCCAAAGUUUUGGACAAUUAUGUCCUUGAACUCUCUUAUAAAUAGAGAGGUUCAUUAGCCAUAUUCAUCAUCCCAAACCAAGAGAGAGCAAAGCUUGUUCUUUGAAAGCUAGGAUUUUAGCUUUCGGGUUUUCUAUAGGGGUUGAGAGUUGUGAGGUUCUCGGGUUGUGUCUUGAGUGUAAAACACUUGUAAUCUUCAUCUUGUUAUAGUGAAAUUUCUUUUCGCCUCUGCCCGUGGACGUAGGCAUUAAAGCCGAACCACGUAAAUCCUUGUGUUCACUUUAUUUUUCGUUUCGGUCAAUUUACUUGUAGUCAUAUCGGAGUUCUCGAAUCGAUCCUUUCCGCAACAGUAACUCUUCUAUAGUGUAGAUACAUAGGGUAGGAAGAUAAUUUUUUGAGAUUCCCCAGAUUGUAAUUUUCAG
RNAcentral lists this long non-coding RNA (6077 nucleotides) under Gossypium barbadense (sea-island cotton). RNAcentral's name for it is "long non-coding RNA (GBAR_LNC017062)". The record is from RNAcentral. Lineage: Eukaryota; Viridiplantae; Streptophyta; Magnoliopsida; Malvales; Malvaceae.